Molecule: ribosomal RNA, 253 nt
Filed under: uncultured bacterium
Lineage: Bacteria
Description: partial 16S ribosomal RNA
Rfam family: Bacterial small subunit ribosomal RNA
Source: RNAcentral
UACGUAGGUGGCAAGCGUUGUCCGGAAUUAUUGGGCGUAAAGCGCGCGCAGGCGGUCCUUUAAGUCUGAUGUGAAAGCCCACGGCUCAACCGUGGAGGGUCAUUGGAAACUGGGGGACUUGAGUGCAGGAGAGAAGAGUGGAAUUCCACGUGUAGCGGUGAAAUGCGUAGAGAUUUGGAGGAACACCAGUGGCGAAGGCGACUUUCUGGUCUGUAACUGACGCUGAGGCGCGAAAGCGUGGGGAGCAAACAGG